This 467-nucleotide ribosomal RNA is filed under the name uncultured bacterium. RNAcentral describes it as "bacterial SSU rRNA". It matches the Rfam family "Bacterial small subunit ribosomal RNA", at positions 917 to 1382 of the family's 1533-position model. The record is from RNAcentral.
GGGCCCGCACAAGCGGAGGAACAUGUGGUUUAAUUCGAUGAUACGCGAGGAACCUUACCCGGGCUUGAAAUGCAUCUGACCGGGCCGGAAACGGUCUUUCCCAGCGAUGGGCAGAUGUGUAGGUGCUGCAUGGUUGUCGUCAGCUCGUGCCGUGAGGUGUCGGCUUAAGUGCCAUAACGAGCGCAACCCUCAUCGUCAGUUACCAUCGGGUAAAGCCGGGGACUCUGAGGAGACUGCCAUCGUAAGAUGCGAGGAAGGUGGGGAUGACGUCAAAUCAGCACGGCCCUUAUGUCCGGGGCGACACACGUGUUACAAUGGGCGGUACAGCGGGGAGCUACCCGGCGACGGGGAGCCGAUCCCGAAAGCCGCUCACAGUUCGGAUCGGAGUCUGCAACUCGACUCCGUGAAGGCGGAUUCGCUAGUAAUCGCGCAUCAGCCACGGCGCGGUGAAUACGUUCCCGGGCCUU